RNAcentral lists this ribosomal RNA (407 nucleotides) under uncultured bacterium. RNAcentral describes it as "partial 16S ribosomal RNA". It matches the Rfam family "Bacterial small subunit ribosomal RNA", at positions 30 to 526 of the family's 1533-position model. The record is from RNAcentral.
AUUGAACGCUGGCGGCAGGCCUAACACAUGCAAGUCGAGCGGAGCGGCGGACGGGUGCGUAAUGCCUAGGAAUCUGCCUGUUAGUGGGGGAUAACGUCCGGAAACGGGCGCUAAUACCGCAUACUCUCAGCUGAGCCUAGGUCGGCUUAGCUAGUUGGUGGGGUAAAGGCCUACCAAGGCGCCGCUCCGUAACUGGGCUGAGCGGAUGAUCAGGCACACUGGAAAUGGGACACGGGCCAGACUCCUAAGGGAGGCAGGAGUGGGGAAAAUUGGACAAAGGGCGAAAGGCUGAUCCAGCCAUGCCGCGUGUGUGAAGAAGGGCGUCGGAUUGUAAAGCACUUUAAGUUGGGAGGCGUUACCAACAGAAUAAGCACCGGCUAACUUCGUGCCAGCAGCCGCGGUAAUAC